RNAcentral lists this long non-coding RNA (3285 nucleotides) under Sus scrofa (pig). RNAcentral's name for it is "lncRNA (ENSSSCG00035020116.1)". Lineage: Eukaryota; Metazoa; Chordata; Mammalia; Artiodactyla; Suidae. The record is from RNAcentral.
CUGCUGCUGCUGCUGCCGCCGCCGCCGUCGCCGCCGCCGACGCCGCUGCUGCAGCUCGAGCAUCCGGGAGCCGCCGCCGCCGCCGCCGCUACCGCCUCUAGCGCCGCUGCCACCGCUGCCACCUUCUCUCCCAGAACCCCGAGACACCCCGAGCACGAGCGGCAGCUGCUGCAUGCUUGCUCCCCCCUUCCCCGCCCCUCCCUUCCGUGACCUACCCAAUCCUUGCAGCCCUCGUCCGCACCUUCUCCGACACCCCGGCGUCCCUGCACCACCUGCUCGGACAGCCCCAGCGGGCGCCGAGACUUGCUGUGCGCGCUGAGAGCAAGGCAAGCUCCGAACCCAUUCCUGGCAGACUGACUGUUGCGGCUGCACCACAAGCAGGAGAAGGAAGAGAAGAAACUACUCUGCUCACCGAAACCCCAUUCUGCGGGUGCUUCGCCGUUGCCGCUUCUGCUGCUGCAAAUCCGCGUCCGCGGGUUCGAACACCGCAGCGGCGGGGACCCUGGGUCUGGUGGUUUCCGUGAGGAAGACACCCGCGGAGCCCUGCGCUCUGGUGUCCCGCUCACCAGCAUCUCUUUGACCCCCUCGUUCAUUCCCCAACCCUUUAGAGAAGGGACCAUGCUUUGGAAACGCAGCGCCGUUCUCCGCUUCUACAGUGUCUGCGGUCCGGCUAUUUCCAACCCCUCCCCCUACUCCCCGGUGCGGCAGGGGGCAGUGGCAGUUUGCUCCAGCCCUUCCAAUCUCUAGCGCUGGCUCAACCCUGCUCUCCCAGCAGUCAGCCCCUUAGGGGCACCUUUCGCCUUUUCAUUCACCUGAUCUUCCUACAUCUCUCACUCUCCAUCCUCACCAGCAACACCCCCCCCAACACACACACACACACACACACACACACACACACACACACACACACUCCCACGCCUUUUGGCUGGCAACUUGUGCCUUCUCUGAACAUUCCAUCCUCCCACCAACCCCCACCAGCCACCUCCCACAUCACUCUCCUGACCGACCCUCUCCAUCUCUUGUCAUCUCUUUAACCUCUCCCUCUUCGGGUCGCCUUUCUCUUUCCCUUUCUUCCUACCAUCAUCAUAUCCGUGUGUCUUUAAAAAGUGUGUGAGAGCCUGGGAGCGAGCUACGGAGGGCGAGAACAGCAGCAGCGGCAGCACAGUGUGCAUUGCAAUAACAUCCCCGGGGGGGAAAUGUGUUGUGAGACGUGUCAUUCACCUAGGAAGAGGAGACUGUCUGGGGUUAAAAAAAGAAAAAUUAAAAAGAGAGGGAGAGCGAGAGAGAGCUGAGAGAGAAAAGAAAAAGGAAGAAAGAAAAAAAGAGUAAAAGGAAAAAGAAGGAAAAUAAAUAAACCAAGAUAUAAGAAGAGAGGGCCAGGGGGAGGGAAAAAUUAAGAGACUUAAAGCCACUUUAUCAACAAACUGACUUUUUAAAUUAUUAUUCAGUCUGUAAGAUUUUCCCUUUCUCUUUUUCUUUCUUUUCUUUUCUUUUUCUUUUUCUUUUUUUUUUUUUAAGCCAAGAAAUACAUGCAUCCUAGUAGUUACUUUACUGCUAAGGGAUUUUUCGCUUAGAUUUCCUACUCUCCAUCUGCUCUCUGCCGCUUCUAUCCGUAAUUAAUAUUAUCCUUUCACGUGAAAUGUGAGAACCCCUGUGACCGCAGUGGAGGGAAACCGCACAAAACACUGUUAUUAUGCAAAUCACUGGGUUAGGAUGCAGACUGGCUAGGGAACUGGGGUGCACUUUUCCCCAGACCCUCUCUUUAGGAGGAGAGAGGAGGGGGCUGUGUGGAAUGGGAGAACGAUGCUGAUUAUAUGAAAUAACGGCAAUGUGUGGAGUAGGAAUGCAAAGGGAGAGCACACUUUGGGUGGUGGAGGCAGAGGCAUCAUGCUAGGGCUGAGUGGGCAGGGGCUGUAAGGUGGAAGAUUGUUGCUUUAAAAAGAGUAGUGUAGGGAUAUGGUUUGAGUGUGAGAUACAGGCAGGAUGGAUGUGAAAUGACGGUCCAUAUGAUUUUUUUAAGCUAGGUGAGUCUUGAUUUCUUGAUAAAUCUUUGACCACCUCUAACUCAUCUGUAAUCAUUUGUAUAUUUGUGUUGUGGGAAAGAUAAGUUGGUCAAAUUUAUUUGAACCUCGGUAAAAGGAAUCUGAAAGUAAGAGACAUGUAGAACCACAGGCGUGCAAAACCCAAUCGGCCUUUGGAGGAUUUAAAUGAGGUCAAUGAACCAUCUUUCAGCAAGUUCUUGGAAUGCAUUCUCUCUCCUAUCCUCCUCUGGGAUAUAGACCAGGACUGUGUUUUAUUUAUGAAUAUUUAUGAAUGUGAAAAAGAGAUAGUGGACAGAAUUUUCCUGAAUUAACUAACUAAACUUGCAGAGAUUCUUAGAAUAUUUUGUAGUAGUUUUGUGUAUUUUACGUUUGAUGUAAAUUUUAGAUAUGUCAUGUGCCAGAAUCCCCGAGAAGGCAGACAACCCAUUCUUUCUGCUUACACCUCCUGGUCCUAUUUCCCACCGCUUACACCCCCACCCUCAGGCAAGUAACCCAGUGGCUGACACAUUACUUGGGUUUCUAAUCUGUGCUGAAACAUCCUCCCAGAGACCCCACUUCACCUCUCAGUAACUUGCAAUUCUCAGCUCCGCUGUGUGUGUGUGUGUGUGUGUGUGUGUGUGUCCGUCAGUGUGCGCGCACCCGCGCACUGGCGUGCACCACGCCGGGUAAGGGAAAUGUGAUGUGGGGAAAUCAGUUAAUUUGGUGAUUGCGAUGAAAAUUCGACACCGCUGGAUGUGUUUUCCAUGCCAGCCUGUGUUGCUGGCCUCCGCACGUCACUGCACACACUGCUGGGCUGGUGCGAGAAGAUUAUUUAUUAUAGAGCAUGUGGGCAAUGGACUGCACUUGGGGGUCGCUCCUCUCUGCCUUCAACAUUUCCCUGUGAAUUGUCUAUUCAGUGCACUGCAAAAUAACUGUCUGCUGGUGCCUCUCUCUCUCCCUCAGACUGGAGGAGGAUUUACUCUUUCUCUACCAGGAGAGAUUCCAUCAGCUGCAUUCUUUUUUAUUAAAUACAUGUAAACCCUUAAGUAUGUAAUAUACGAUUAAGACAGUGCUGCUUUUCACAGCAGAUUGGUGGGGGUGUGUGGAAGGGGUGUGGGUAUACCAGAGAAAAUGGACCACUGCAACUAUAAGCACCAGCAUCAGACCCAAAUAAAUAAGUGUCCUAAACAGCAAUCAGGAAAGAGUACCAGCUCAAGGAUAUAUGUGUACUUCUGAGUAUCUUGAUUAGGCCAUAUUAAUAUAC